AAGUCGUAACAAGGUUUCCGUAGGUGAACCUGCGGAAGGAUCAUUAACACGUUCUAAACGUAUCAACCAACCGCGAACUCUGACGUUAGUAACCUCUUUCAGAUCUUCGGGACUGGGAGCCUGAGCAUGUUAGGGGAAAGUGCUGUUUAGGGGCUUGUCUCCUCUACACAGGCUUCCUUUAACACUGUUCAUAUUAACCAAACCAUAUUUGUUGUUCAUUUCUUCUGUUCUAAAGGACGUGGCGUUCUAUCGCUAUUGUCUCUUUAUUACAAACUUGUACAACUCUUAGCAACGGAUGUCUUGGUUUCC
Molecule: unclassified non-coding RNA, 309 nt
Filed under: fungal sp.
Lineage: Eukaryota; Fungi
Description: partial internal transcribed spacer region
Rfam family: Eukaryotic small subunit ribosomal RNA (bases 1-46)
Source: RNAcentral